GGGCGGUUAGCUCAGUUGGUUAGAGCGUCUGCCUUACAAGCAGAAGGUCCCCGGUUCGAGCCCGGGACCGCCCACCA
Molecule: transfer RNA, 77 nt
Filed under: Acidobacteriota bacterium
Lineage: Bacteria; Pseudomonadati; Acidobacteriota
Also listed under: 1 other name
Description: Acidobacteria bacterium (activated sludge metagenome) tRNA-Val
Rfam family: tRNA
About the family: Transfer RNA (tRNA) molecules are approximately 80 nucleotides in length. Their secondary structure includes four short double-helical elements and three loops (D, anti-codon, and T loops).
Source: RNAcentral